GGUGGGUUCGUAUAACGGCUAGUACUCGAGAUUUUCAUUCUCGCAAUGGGAGUUCGAUUCUCCCACCCACUA
This 72-nucleotide transfer RNA is filed under the name Candidatus Cacconaster caballi. RNAcentral describes it as "tRNA-Glu". It matches the Rfam family "tRNA". Rfam says of the family: Transfer RNA (tRNA) molecules are approximately 80 nucleotides in length. Their secondary structure includes four short double-helical elements and three loops (D, anti-codon, and T loops). Further hydrogen bonds mediate the characteristic L-shaped molecular structure. tRNAs have two regions of fundamental functional importance: the anti-codon, which is responsible for specific mRNA codon recognition, and the 3' end, to which the tRNAs corresponding amino acid is attached (by aminoacyl-tRNA synthetases). tRNAs cope with the degeneracy of the genetic code in two manners: having more than one tRNA (with a specific anti-codon) for a particular amino acid; and 'wobble' base-pairing, i.e. permitting non-standard base-pairing at the 3rd anti-codon position. Lineage: Bacteria; Pseudomonadati; Bacteroidota; Bacteroidia; Bacteroidales. The record is from RNAcentral.